AGAGUGAACAAGCAAUAUUACAGAUAGCCAGGCAGCUCAUGGUGGCAAUGAGGUUGCAAGUCUUCAUUCUCCUCCUCGACCUGCUGGCCUCGAUCACAACAGCACCUUCUAAGAAAUUCCAUCACGGGCACAUUGUGAUUUCUCCUGAUGGUAAAUACUUUCGUGCAGAGGCUUUUUUUGCAUGAUUAUAUGGAAACAGAAUGGAGCUGUUCACAAGACCUCACCACAAGUC
Molecule: long non-coding RNA, 232 nt
Organism: Stegostoma tigrinum
Lineage: Eukaryota; Metazoa; Chordata; Chondrichthyes; Orectolobiformes; Stegostomatidae
Exons: 3
Source: RefSeq, a predicted model, not a curated record